Molecule: non-coding RNA, 72 nt
Organism: Sphaerodactylus townsendi
Lineage: Eukaryota; Metazoa; Chordata; Lepidosauria; Squamata; Sphaerodactylidae
Source: the annotation of a RefSeq genome assembly
GGGGGCAUGGCUCAGUGGUAGAGCAUUUGCUUUGCAUGCUGAGGGCCCUGGGUUCAAUCCCCAGCACCUCCA